This 462-nucleotide ribosomal RNA is filed under the name uncultured bacterium. RNAcentral's name for it is "bacterial SSU rRNA". It matches the Rfam family "Bacterial small subunit ribosomal RNA", at positions 917 to 1382 of the family's 1533-position model. The record is from RNAcentral.
GGGCCCGCACAAGCAGUGGAUUAUGUGGUUUAAUUCGACGCAACGCGAAGAACCUUACCAGGAUUUGACAUCCCACUAACGAAGUAGAGAUACAUUAGGUGCCCUUCGGGGAAAGUGGAGACAGGUGGUGCAUGGUUGUCGUCAGCUCGUGUCGUGAGAUGUUGGGUUAAGUCCCGCAACGAGCGCAACCCUUAUUGUUAGUUGCUACGAAAGAGCACUCUAGCAAGACUGCCGUUGACAAAACGGAGGAAGGCGGGGACGACGUCAAAUCAUCAUGCCCCUUACGUCCUGGGCUACACACGUAAUACAAUGGCGAUCAACAGAGGGAGGCAAUACCGCGAGGUGGAGCAAACCCCUAAAAGUCGUCUCAGUUCGGACUGCAGUCUGCAACUCGACUGCACGAAGUCGGAAUUGCUAGUAAUCGCGGAUCAGCAUGCCGCGGUGAAUACGUUCCCGGGCCUU